UCUUGCGAGGAAAUGUGACGGUACCCUAAGAAUAAGCCACGGCUAACUACGUGCCAGCAGCCGCGGUAAUACGUAGGUGGCAAGCGUUGUCCGGAUUUAUUGGGUUUAAAGGGUGCGUAGGUGGUUUGAUAAGUCAGUGGUGAAAGCCGGUUGCUCAACAAUCGAGUUGCCAUUGAUACUGUCGGACUUGAGAGAAGUGGAGGUUCAUGGAAUGGAUGGUGUAGCGGUGAAAUGCAUAGAUAUCAUCCAGAACGUCGAUUGCGAAGGCAGUGGGCUGUACUUUAUCUGACACUGAGGCACGAAAGUGUGGGGAUCAAACAGGAUUAGAUACCCUGGUAGUCCACACUGUAAACGAUGCGAACUAGCUUUUUGGUUUUCGGAUUGGGAGGCUAAGGGAAACCGAUAAGUUCGCCACCUGGGGAGUACGCCGGCAACGGUGAAACUCAAAUGAAUUGACGG
RNAcentral lists this ribosomal RNA (459 nucleotides) under uncultured bacterium. RNAcentral's name for it is "bacterial SSU rRNA". It matches the Rfam family "Bacterial small subunit ribosomal RNA", at positions 455 to 916 of the family's 1533-position model. The record is from RNAcentral.